GACGAACGCUGGCGGCGUGCUUAACACAUGCAAGUCGAACGGAAAGGCCCUGCUUUUGUGGGGUGCUCGAGUGGCGAACGGGUGAGUAACACGUGAGUAACCUGCCCUUGACUUUGGGAUAACCUCAGGAAACUGGGGCUAAUACCGGAUAGGAGCUCCUGCUGCAUGGUGGGGGUUGGAAAGUUUCGGCGGUUGGGGAUGGACUCGCGGCUUAUCAGCUUGUUGGUGGGGUAGUGGCUUACCAAGGCUUUGACGGGUAGCCGGCCUGAGAGGGUGACCGGCCACAUUGGGACUGAGAUACGGCCCAGACUCCUACGGGAGGCAGCAGUGGGGAAUAUUGCACAAUGGGCGGAAGCCUGAUGCAGCAACGCCGCGUGCGGGAUGACGGCCUUCGGGUUGUAAACCGCUUUCGCCUGUGACGAAGCGUGAGUGACGGUAAUGGGUAAAGAAGCACCGGCUAACUACGUGCCAGCAGCCGCGGUGAUACGUAGGGUGCGAGCGUUGUCCGGAUUUAUUGGGCGUAAAGGGCUCGUAGGUGGUUGAUCGCGUCGGAAGUGUAAUCUUGGGGCUUAACCCUGAGCGUGCUUUCGAUACGGGUUGACUUGAGGAAGGUAGGGGAGAAUGGAAUUCCUGGUGGAGCGGUGGAAUGCGCAGAUAUCAGGAGGAACACCAGUGGCGAAGGCGGUUCUCUGGGCCCUUCCUGACGCUGAGGAGCGAAAGCGUGGGGAGCGAACAGGCUUAGAUACCCUGGUAGUCCACGCUGUAAACGGUGGGUACCAGGUGUGGGGUCCAUUCCACGGGUUCCGUGCCGUAGCUAACGCUUUAAGUACCCCGCCUGGGGAGUACGGCCGCAAGGCUAAAACUCAAAGGAAUUGACGGGGCCCCGCACAAGCGGCGGAGCAUGCGGAUUAAUUCGAUGCAACGCGUAGAACCUUACCUGGGUUUGACAUGGAUCGGGAGCGCUCAGAGAUGGGUGUGCCUCUUUUGGGGUCGGUUCACAGGUGGUGCAUGGCUGUCGUCAGCUCGUGUCGUGAGAUGUUGGGUUAAGUCCCGCAACGAGCGCAACCCUUGUUCACUGUUGCCAGCACGUUAUGGUGGGGACUCAGUGGAGACCGCCGGGGUCAACUCGGAGGAAGGUGGGGAUGACGUCAAGUCAUCAUGCCCCUUAUGUCCAGGGCUUCACGCAUGCUACAAUGGCUGGUACAGAGAGUGGCGAGCCUGUGAGGGUGAGCGAAUCUCGGAAAGCCGGUCUCAGUUCGGAUUGGGGUCUGCAACUCGACCUCAUGAAGUCGGAGUCGCUAGUAAUCGCAGAUCAGCAACGCUGCGGUGAAUACGUUCCCGGGGCU
RNAcentral lists this ribosomal RNA (1346 nucleotides) under uncultured bacterium. Its description in RNAcentral is "bacterial SSU rRNA". It matches the Rfam family "Bacterial small subunit ribosomal RNA", at positions 28 to 1381 of the family's 1533-position model. The record is from RNAcentral.